GGUGAGUUGGCCGAGUGGCUGAAGGCACACCCCUGCUAAGGGUGCAUAGGGGAAACUCUAUCGAGGGUUCGAAUCCCUCACUUACCGCCA
RNAcentral lists this transfer RNA (90 nucleotides) under Gammaproteobacteria bacterium. RNAcentral describes it as "tRNA-Ser". It matches the Rfam family "tRNA". Rfam says of the family: Transfer RNA (tRNA) molecules are approximately 80 nucleotides in length. Their secondary structure includes four short double-helical elements and three loops (D, anti-codon, and T loops). Further hydrogen bonds mediate the characteristic L-shaped molecular structure. tRNAs have two regions of fundamental functional importance: the anti-codon, which is responsible for specific mRNA codon recognition, and the 3' end, to which the tRNAs corresponding amino acid is attached (by aminoacyl-tRNA synthetases). tRNAs cope with the degeneracy of the genetic code in two manners: having more than one tRNA (with a specific anti-codon) for a particular amino acid; and 'wobble' base-pairing, i.e. permitting non-standard base-pairing at the 3rd anti-codon position. RNAcentral also lists the same sequence under 4 other names. The record is from RNAcentral. Lineage: Bacteria; Pseudomonadati; Pseudomonadota; Gammaproteobacteria.